This 253-nucleotide ribosomal RNA is filed under the name uncultured bacterium. Its description in RNAcentral is "partial 16S ribosomal RNA". It matches the Rfam family "Bacterial small subunit ribosomal RNA", at positions 524 to 776 of the family's 1533-position model. The record is from RNAcentral.
UACGAAGGGUGCAAGCGUUACUCGGAAUUACUGGGCGUAAAGCGUGCGUAGGUGGUUUGUUAAGUCUGAUGUGAAAGCCCUGGGCUCAACCUGGGAAUUGCAUUGGAUACUGACAGGCUAGAGUGCGGUAGAGGGUAGUGGAAUUCCCGGUGUAGCAGUGAAAUGCGUAGAGAUCGGGAGGAACAUCUGUGGCGAAGGCGACUACCUGGACCAGCACUGACACUGAGGCACGAAAGCGUGGGGAGCAAACAGG